This 62-nucleotide transfer RNA is filed under the name Batracomorphus lateprocessus. RNAcentral's name for it is "tRNA-His". The record is from RNAcentral. RNAcentral also lists the same sequence under 1 other name. Lineage: Eukaryota; Metazoa; Arthropoda; Insecta; Hemiptera; Cicadellidae.
AUUUGAAUAGUUUUUUAUAAAAUUAAGGUCUGUGGAUUCUUAGAUGGGUUCCCCUUCAAAUU